This 748-nucleotide long non-coding RNA is filed under the name Rosa chinensis. RNAcentral's name for it is "sRNA RchiOBHm_Chr1g0354941". Lineage: Eukaryota; Viridiplantae; Streptophyta; Magnoliopsida; Rosales; Rosaceae. The record is from RNAcentral.
GGGCAGUGGCUAUCUAAAGUUGGGAUUCCAUGGUGUAUCUGCUAAGAGCUUCCAGCAAAAUUGGUUAGGUUCUUCAUUUUUUGUGUUAGAUAUGAAUUAGGACUGCAACUAAUAAUUGUGUUUGAAUAUAUUAUUCGUAGAUAUCGAUGUUGGUCUUCCUUUCAAUUUGUUUACUGUUUUGGUAGUGAUUCUGAUGUUCCUUUGGCUUUCCCAUUCAUAUUUUUACGUUUACACAUUCAUGUCAUAUUGAUGUUGCUGAUUUUUCCUCUUGGUUAGAGAUAGAUCUCACUAAAGUUCUUGAUUGGCCCUUUUUUCAUUUUGAUUUGUUUCUACCUCCUCAUGGUCUGGUAACAAUUCUCUCCCUGGAUUUAUGUUUUACAGAUUAUUAGAUUGAGAUACUUAGACAUAAGGUCUACAGAGAGACUAUGAGGUUAAGGAAAAUAAUCUCAGUGGUCAAGGAAAACAAUCACAUUAUUUGGGUUCGCAUUAUCAAGAUGUGAUGUUAUGUUUUUUGAAAGUUUAGAGGAACCUCACAGAUCAGCAUUAGCAAGUUUUUUGUACUUGGUUGAUGCAACGUGUGAGAUCUUGCUUAUGCUUCUCUCCAGUUGAUGGUGUCUCAUAAAACGAAAGUUAAUGACAAGGUAAUUCUAUAAUCACUCCAAUAUUAAUAUGCUGAUCUAUGUGCGAAUUAUUUUUAGCUAUAAUGAUGUUUGAAGUUUUGUAUCAUUCCAUAAUUUAUUUAUUUUUU